CCCAGUGAGUAUAAACAAAGAAAACAGUUCAUUAAUUACAUGCUUUUAUGAAAUGCGUCACAGCACAAACAUUCCACAUAACAGACGGACAUGACCACCAAAACUCCCUCUGCAUAGUGCCUGGCCCAUGAAGGGACUUACCCAGGUCUUUCAUAUAUAACAUAGUGCCUGGCCCACGAAGGGACUUACCCAGGUCUUUCAUACAUAACAUGGGCUAUUGGGGUCGCCUUGGUCCAUCCACAUCCACAAUAAAUAAUGCAAUGCGUCAUAUUCGUGUAACUAGUGCAAUCAACCUAUUACAUAUAAACAUGAUGCGUGAACAUGCUUUAGGCAUUUGAUUUCGUAAAAUAAAAN
This 354-nucleotide long non-coding RNA is filed under the name Manihot esculenta (cassava). RNAcentral describes it as "long non-coding RNA (MESC_LNC004031)". The record is from RNAcentral. Lineage: Eukaryota; Viridiplantae; Streptophyta; Magnoliopsida; Malpighiales; Euphorbiaceae.